Molecule: ribosomal RNA, 454 nt
Filed under: Alligator mississippiensis (American alligator)
Lineage: Eukaryota; Metazoa; Chordata; Crocodylia; Alligatoridae
Description: partial 12S ribosomal RNA
Rfam family: Bacterial small subunit ribosomal RNA
Source: RNAcentral
GCUUAAAACUCAAAGGACUUGACGGCACUUUAAACCCCCCUAGAGGAGCCUGUCCUAUAAUCGACAGUACACGUUACACCCGACCACCUUUAGCCUACUCAGUCUGUAUACCGCCGUCGCAAGCCCGUCCCAUUUGAGGGAAACAAAACGCGCGCAACAGCUCAACCGAGCUAACACGUCAGGUCAAGGUGCAGCCAACAAGGUGGAAGAGAUGGGCUACAUUUUCUCAACAUGUAGAAAUAUUCAACGGAGAGCCCUAUGAAAUACAGGACUGUCAAAGCCGAUUUAGCAGUAAACUGGGAAAGAAUACCUAGUUGAAGUCGGUAACGAAGUGCGUACACACCGCCGGUCACCUCCUCGAACCCAACAAAAUGCCCAAACAACAGGCACAAUGUUGGGCAAGAUGGGGAAAGUCGUAACAAGGUAAGCGUACCGGAAGGUGCACUUGGAACAU